Molecule: long non-coding RNA, 572 nt
Organism: Scophthalmus maximus (turbot)
Lineage: Eukaryota; Metazoa; Chordata; Actinopteri; Pleuronectiformes; Scophthalmidae
Exons: 3
Source: RefSeq, a predicted model, not a curated record
GUCUUCAGAUUAUACAACAAUCACCAAAACACCCCAAUCCCCAAGAGGUCGGAGGAGUCGCAACAAUGUCUUUCAUCCAGAAGCUGUGGAGGAAAGACCAGAGCGAUUAUGGUCUGAACUCCGCCCUUCAUGUUCCCAAUCGUGGCUGACGAGGUGAACGGUUAUCUGGAUGAAAACGACGACUCAGAAGAUUCACACGAUGACGGUGAAACUGACUUCCGUGGAGGAUCUCAAAGAGAAGCUUGUCUGACCUUGUGUGACCUCCUGCUGAAGAUCAGAAUUCAUACUGAAACAACUGAUCCUCUGAAACCUGCGAAUGUUCAAAAUCUUCACUUGAUAAAUGAUUCAAAGGAUCAGACCGGAAAAAACCCACAACUGACGAAAACAAAACAAAUGUUUUCAUGCUAAUCAGUGUCAGAGCCAGAGGUCAAAGGUCACGUCCAAAAACAUAAAAUCACACAGUCGCAUGAAGGCAGUGGGUCACAUGUUCUCCUCCUGAUACCUCUGGUACACACACACACACACACACACACACUCACACACACACACACACACACACACUCUCACACACA